Long non-coding RNA from Alosa sapidissima (American shad), 482 nucleotides. RefSeq lists it as uncharacterized. The record is from RefSeq and is a predicted model, not a curated record. Lineage: Eukaryota; Metazoa; Chordata; Actinopteri; Clupeiformes; Clupeidae. The transcript has 3 exons.
UGCCAUUCAGACCCACGAACGCACCAUGCGGUAGCCAUGUCCUCGCGUUAAGACAACGUCUGUCAUAAGUUAACUAAAUGCUGCUCGGCAUCCAUGGAGCUCCAGCCUCUGGCGGUCUACAUAGCGAGAGAAUAGAGAGAGAAGGUUGGGAGGUGUGAAGAGAGGAGGGGAGAGCGAUGACGAGGGGACUUUCAACAGCUCUCUAGUCACCGAGAACACCAACUCUGUCCUACAAAAGAAAACAACAGCACACGUUGUAAAGACUGUCAACGUUAAGGGCUGGCAGAUUUCGGGCGAUGCCCAUGACAACAGCAGCAGCUUGAGGAGGGGGCAGGAAAGGAAGGAGCCUAGACAUGAGGCGUUUGCCCUUCCUCACAGACAUGAUCAUGAGGCACUGUUCAUCACUGACUCUGUAGGGCAGACAAGAGAGAAACAAACAAACAAACAAAUAAAUAAAUAAAUAGAUAAAUAAAGAACACUUA